This 1538-nucleotide ribosomal RNA is filed under the name Escherichia coli. Its description in RNAcentral is "bacterial SSU rRNA". It matches the Rfam family "Bacterial small subunit ribosomal RNA". Lineage: Bacteria; Pseudomonadati; Pseudomonadota; Gammaproteobacteria; Enterobacterales; Enterobacteriaceae. The record is from RNAcentral.
UUGAAGAGUUUGAUCAUGGCUCAGAUUGAACGCUGGCGGCAGGCCUAACACAUGCAAGUCGAACGGUAACAGGAAUCAGCUUGCUGUUUCGCUGACGAGUGGCGGACGGGUGAGUAAUGUCUGGGAAACGGCCUGAUGGAGGGGGAUAACUACUGGAAACGGUAGCUAAUACCGCAUAACGUCGCAAGACCAAAGAGGGGGACCUUCGGGCCUCUUGCCAUCGGAUGUGCCCAGAUGGGAUUAGCUUGUUGGUGGGGUAACGGCUCACCAAGGCGACGAUCCCUAGCUGGUCUGAGAGGAUGACCAGCCACACUGGAACUGAGACACGGUCCAGACUCCUACGGGAGGCAGCAGUGGGGAAUAUUGCACAAUGGGCGCAAGCCUGAUGCAGCCAUGCCGCGUGUAUGAAGAAGGCCUUCGGGUUGUAAAGUACUUUCAGCGGGGAGGAAGGGAGUAAAGUUAAUACCUUUGCUCAUUGACGUUACCCGCAGAAGAAGCACCGGCUAACUCCGUGCCAGCAGCCGCGGUAAUACGGAGGGUGCAAGCGUUAAUCGGAAUUACUGGGCGUAAAGCGCACGCAGGCGGUUUGUUAAGUCAGAUGUGAAAUCCCCGGGCUCAACCUGGGAACUGCAUCUGAUACUGGCAAGCUUGAGUCUCGUAGAGGGGGGUAGAAUUCCAGGUGUAGCGGUGAAAUGCGUAGAGAUCUGGAGGAAUACCGGUGGCGAAGGCGGCCCCCUGGACGAAGACUGACGCUCAGGUGCGAAAGCGUGGGGAGCAAACAGGAUUAGAUACCCUGGUAGUCCACGCCGUAAACGAUGUCGACUUGGAGGUUGUGCCCUUGAGGCGUGGCUUCCGGAGCUAACGCGUUAAGUCGACCGCCUGGGGAGUACGGCCGCAAGGUUAAAACUCAAAUGAAUUGACGGGGGCCCGCACAAGCGGUGGAGCAUGUGGUUUAAUUCGAUGCAACGCGAAGAACCUUACCUGGUCUUGACAUCCACGGAAGUUUUCAGAGAUGAGAAUGUGCCUUCGGGAACCGUGAGACAGGUGCUGCAUGGCUGUCGUCAGCUCGUGUUGUGAAAUGUUGGGUUAAGUCCCGCAACGAGCGCAACCCUUAUCCUUUGUUGCCAGCGGUCCGGCCGGGAACUCAAAGGAGACUGCCAGUGAUAAACUGGAGGAAGGUGGGGAUGACGUCAAGUCAUCAUGGCCCUUACGACCAGGGCUACACACGUGCUACAAUGGCGCAUACAAAGAGAAGCGACCUCGCGAGAGCAAGCGGACCUCAUAAAGUGCGUCGUAGUCCGGAUUGGAGUCUGCAACUCGACUCCAUGAAGUCGGAAUCGCUAGUAAUCGUGGAUCAGAAUGCCACGGUGAAUACGUUCCCGGGCCUUGUACACACCGCCCGUCACACCAUGGGAGUGGGUUGCAAAAGAAGUAGGUAGCUUAACCUUCGGGAGGGCGCUUACCACUUUGUGAUUCAUGACUGGGGUGAAGUCGUAACAAGGUAACCGUAGGGGAACCUGCGGUUGGAUCACCUCCUU